RNAcentral lists this ribosomal RNA (585 nucleotides) under uncultured bacterium. RNAcentral describes it as "partial 16S ribosomal RNA". It matches the Rfam family "Bacterial small subunit ribosomal RNA", at positions 355 to 1375 of the family's 1533-position model. The record is from RNAcentral.
UGGGGAAUUUUGGACAAUGGGCGAAAGCCUGAUCCAGCAAUGCCGCGUGUGUGAAGAAGGCCUUCGGGUUGUAAAGCACUUUUGUCCGGAAAGAAAUCCUUGGCUCUAAUACAGUCGGGGGAUGACGGUACCGGAAGAAUAAGCACCGGCUAACUACGUGCCAGCAGCCGCGGUAAUACGUAGGGUGCAAGCGUUAAUCGGAAUUACUGGGCGUAAAGCGUGCGCAGGCGGUUUGCUAAGACCGAUGUGAAAUCCCCGGGCUCAACCUGGGAACUGCAUUGGUGACUGGCAGGCUAGAGUAUGGCAGAGGGGGGUAGAAUUCCACGUGUAGCAGUAAAAUGCGUAGAGAUGUGGAGGAAUACCGAUGGCGAAGGCAGCCCCCUGGGCCAAUACUGACGCUCAUGCACGAAAGCGUGGGGAGCAAACAGGAUUAGAUACCCUGGUAGUCCACGCCCUAAACGAUGUCAACUAGUUGUUGGGGAUUCAUUUCCUUAGUAACGUAGCUAACGCGUGAAGUUGACCGCCUGGGGAGUACGGUCGCAAGAUUAAAACUUAAAUGAAUUGACGGGGUCAUAGCUGUUUCCU